GUCCACGCAGUAAACGAUGAAUACUAGCUGUUGGCGAUAUAAUGUCAGCGGUACAGCGAAAGUGUUAAGUAUUCCACCUGGGGAGUACGCCGGCAACGGUGAAACUCAAAGGAAUUGACGGGGGCCCGCACAAGCGGAGGAACAUGUGGUUUAAUUCGAUGAUACGCGAGGAACCUUACCCGGGCUUGAAAGUUAGUGACUGACUUGGAAACAGGUCAUUCCUUCGGGACACGAAACUAGGUGCUGCAUGGUUGUCGU
Molecule: ribosomal RNA, 258 nt
Filed under: uncultured bacterium
Lineage: Bacteria
Description: partial 16S ribosomal RNA
Rfam family: Bacterial small subunit ribosomal RNA
Source: RNAcentral